UACGGAGGGUGCAAGCGUUAUCCGGAUUCACUGGGUUUAAAGGGUGCGUAGGCGGGUUGGUAAGUCCGUGGUGAAAUCCCCAAGCUUAACUUGGGAACUGCCGUGGAUACUAUCAAUCUUGAAUAUCGUGGAGGUAAGCGGAAUAUGUCAUGUAGCGGUGAAAUGCGUAGAUACUGGGAGGAACACCGGUGGCGAAGGCGGCUACCUGGACGGGUACUGACGCUGAGGCGCGAAAGCUAGGGGAGCAAACAGG
Molecule: ribosomal RNA, 253 nt
Filed under: uncultured bacterium
Lineage: Bacteria
Description: partial 16S ribosomal RNA
Rfam family: Bacterial small subunit ribosomal RNA
Source: RNAcentral